RNAcentral lists this long non-coding RNA (4048 nucleotides) under Hordeum vulgare. RNAcentral's name for it is "long non-coding RNA (HVUL_LNC004112)". Lineage: Eukaryota; Viridiplantae; Streptophyta; Magnoliopsida; Poales; Poaceae. The record is from RNAcentral.
ACGAGGGUCUCCAGCGCCAACACAGGUGCAACAAAUCACAUCAGCANCCCCGCUACCGACGUGGAUGGACACGCCGACCUACACGACGGCGCCACUACAGCCGACGGUGUUGCAGCCACCCGCCCCCACCUUCGGGGGGUUCGGCAGGUACACUGAUCCGUACGCCGGGAGCUCCGUGGUGCCGCAACAAUCUUCUUCCGCCGCGCUGGGCCGUCACGAGGGCACCUACGCGGCCUCGCCACACGUGCAGCAGCCACCCCGCUUCACCAAGCUGGAGUUCGCCACCUACGACGGCACCGUCGACCCCCUGAACUGGCUCAAUCAGUGCGACCAGUUUUUCAGGGGGCAGCGGACCAUGGCGUCCGACCGCCUGGUCAUACGUGCGCCCGCCUGUUCUACUUAGAGACCGUCGACGACGCGGAGGUGGAGGCCCUCACCGCGGCGCUCGACGCCACCACUCUCCGAGGCCGGCGUCACAACCUACGGGCCGGUCGACGCGACCGCCUUCGUCGUCUCCCUUCAUGCCAUGGCUGGCAUCAAGACGGCAAAGACGAUGCUGCUUCCGGUGACGAUCAACGGGGAGCGUCUAACCGCGCUCGUGGACACGGGUUCGACGCACAACUUCCUGUCCGGGGACGCCAUGCGCCGCCUCGCACUCCAACCGGCGGGCUCGGAGAAGUUCAGCGUCACCGUCGCCAACGGGGACCGCCUUGCUUGCCAGGGGGUGGCGCGGCAGGUUCCCGUCCUCAUCGGCGACGAGCCGUUCUCGAUCGACUGCGUCGGCAUCGACCUGGGCUGCUACGACUUCAUCCUCGGCAUCGACUUCCUGUCCACUCUCGGCCCCAUACUUUAGGACCUCGAUGUGUUGUCCCUCAUCUCCUGGCGCGAGGGCGGCCGUCGUGUUCAGUGGACAGGCAUCGGCGGCUCCGGCGCCGUGACUCCACAGCUCCAGUUGAUGGCGUCCGCACUGGACGAGGCGCAUCCCCUCCUGGCCGACCUCUUGCAGCAGCACAACGACAUCUUCGACGAGCCACAGGGCCUCCCUCCCGUGCGGCCCUGUGACCACCGCAUCCACCUGCUGCCGGACACGGCACCUGUAGCCAUGCGUCCGUACCGGUACCCUCAGCUGCAGAAAGACGAGCUCGAGCGUCAGGUGGCGGUCAUGCUCGCGCAAGGCAUCAUCCGGAUUUCGACAUCGCCGUUCUCCGCCCCGGUGCUCCUUGUGCGCAAGUCCGACGGCACAUGGCGCUUCUGCAUCGACUACCACGCCCUCAACGCCCUGAUGUCCAAGGACAAGUUCCCCAUCCCCGUCGUGGAUGAGCUCUUGGACGAGCUACACGGAGCGCGCUUCUUCACCAAGCUCGACCUUCGCUCGAGCUACGAUCAGGUGCGCAUGCACCCUGACGACAUCGAGAAGACGGCGUUCCGCACUCACCAUGGCCACUUCGAGUUCCUGGUGAUGCCGUUCGGCCUCUCCAACGCGUCGGCGACCUUCCAGGCCCUGAUGAACGACGUGCUCAGCCCAUACUUGCGCCGCUUUGCGCUUGUUUUCUUUGAUGACAUUCUCAUCUACAGUGCAUCUUGGGCGGAGCAUCUACAACAUGUGGCCAUCAUCUUCAACGAGCUUCGAGCGCAUCGUCUUCACCUCAAGCGCUCGAAGUGCUCGUUCGGCACGACCUCCAUCGCGUACCUGGGGCACGUCAUCUCGACGGACGGGUAGCGAUGGACGCGGACAAGGUCGCCGCCGUCGCCGCAUGGCCGAUCCCGCGGUCACCGCGUGCGCUCCGCGGCUUCUUGGGCCUCGCCGGCUACUACCGGAAGUACAUCCGGGACUUCGGCCUCACCGCCGCGCCACUGACGCGUCUCCUUCGACGCGACGCCUUCUCCUGGGACGAGGAGGCGACUACGGCAUUCGAGGCUCUCCAGCAGGCGCUCACGACGGGACCCGUCCUCCAGAUGCCGGACUUUGAUAUGCCGUUCAUCAUGGACUGCGACGCCUCUGGCAUCGGCUUCGGCGCCGUCCUUCACCAGGGCGAGGGACCGCUCGCCUUCUUCAGCCGCCCCUUCGUCGCUCGCCAUCACAAGCUCGCGGCCUACGAGCGCGAGCUUAUUGGGCUGGUUCAGGCGGUGCGCCACUGGCAGCCUUAUCUUUGGGGCCGGUCAUUCCGUGUGCGCACAGACCACUACAGCCUCAAGUUCUUGCUGGACCAGCGCCUCUCCACAGUUUCGCAACACCAGUGGAUCAGCAAGCUCUUUGGCUUCGACUUCACUGUUGAGUACCGCCCCGGCCGUCUCAACACGGUCGCCGACGCCUUGUCCCGCCGCGACACUGCAGAUGUCGCGGACGACGUCGCCAUGGCUGGCACUAUCAUGUGCAUUCGCUCCGGGCCAUCUUUCGCCUUCAUCAACAAAAUUCGCCGGGCAACUUCGACGGCCGUGGACGCCCAGGGCCUACGCCGGCGAGCUGGACGCGCCCUGGCGCUUGGACGAGGGGCUACUCCUACAUGGCCGCCGCAUCUUUGUGCCCGACCAUGGCGACCUACGACACCAGGUCCUGACUUUGGCGCACUCUGCAGGGCACGAGGGCGUGCAGAAGACUCUCCAUCGUCUCCGUGCUGAUUUUUACAUCCCCGGUGAUGGCGCGAUGGUCCGCGACUGGGUGCGGUCGUGCGUGACGUGCCAGCGGAGGAGGAAGCGACUUGGGAGAAGCUCGACGAUGAGGUAUGCGAGUGUACAGUGGACCGGCCUGCCAGAGGAGGAAGCGACUUGGGAGAAGCUCGACGAUUUCCGCCAGCAGUUUCCAGAUGUUCAGCUCGAGGACGAGCUGUUUGAGAAGGCGGGGAGAGAUGUUAUGACCGGUACAACGUACCAACGGAGGAGGCCCAAUGGGCAGGGUUAAUUACGGGCUUAGCCCAAGUUAUCUUACCUAUCUUAGAAGUCCAAGUUAUAUUAGAGUCCAAGUUAGAGUCCAAGUUAUCUAGGGUUUAGUGGAGGUUGUCCUCCUUUAUAAACACAUGUACCCCUUCGAUAUUAAUCAGACAAUAAACAGUAUAUUCUGUUGUCGUCUCCCUCAGGAGACGAGAGCCCCAAACCCUAGCCGCCUCUCUCUCUCUCUCACGCCGCGACGGCGCCUAACCGCCGGCGCCGGCGUCCCCAACCUCGCAGCCCGCACUUCCACCCCUACAACCUACGUCCGAGACCUGGUAGAACCCUAGCCUCUACCACAUACACAAGUUUGACUUCAUUAAAAUCGAGACACCUUAUAUUCUGGAACAGAGGGAGUAUUUCCUCUGCAUCAAACAACAUACUAUUAAUCUCAAAGCUUACACAGUUUUGAUAGUUAAUCUAGAAUGGACCGGAGAGGAAGAGAAAGCAUAGUAGUAACGACAUGAUAAUACUACUAGACACAAAAAGGUAAACUUACCUGUAGCCUGAAUGGCUUGACUCCAAGGAUAACAAGACGCUCAAAGAGAGACUGUGCUAAUCCUGCUCGUGCUGCCUUUUUGCACAUGAUAACUGGACCCAAUUGGCAAUGAUCUCCAACAAGAACAACCUGAAUAGCUCGAAAGCAUAAAUAAAUAAAAUCAGGUUAACCUAAAUGAGGUCAUUGAUUAUAUCUUCACCUGCUUAACACCAAGAACCAAUGGAAUAAGACAUUCUGGCUCUGUCGCCUGUGUAGACUCAUCGAUAAGAACCUGUCGAUAACAAUUUCCAUUGCUUCAGGACACAAUAUAGAACACAUAUGAGCACUACUAACUUAAAAACUAAAGGGUAGAAAUCAUUACCUGGCGAAAGCGGAAGUUUGACAAACGAGGGUCUCCAGCGCCAACACAGGUGCAACAAAUCACAUCAGCACUUUGUAAUAUCUCUCUUUCAGUCGCUCGUUUUAGUGCCUUGUACUUUUUCUCAUCACUGCUCGACAAUUCUCCUGUGGAAAUAGAAAAGGUACAUCAGUUCCCAGUCAACCAAAUGAGUCAUAUCAAGCCUCUUCACAGAAAAUAUUCAAUGAAAGCAUCAUGCUUGGUGAGAGACUGAGUGGAUAAAACAC